Molecule: long non-coding RNA, 2148 nt
Organism: Mus spicilegus (steppe mouse)
Lineage: Eukaryota; Metazoa; Chordata; Mammalia; Rodentia; Muridae
Source: Ensembl
AUUCAGUGUUGACAGUUAUCUGCAUGCUCUUUACAGAGCCACUAAAGUGAGCCUGCCACAGGACACACAAGGCCUUUUGUCUGGGGCUCUUGUGUGGAUCUCACACAGAGCAUGAUAUCCAGGGAAGUGUAAGUGUGAUCUGGGUAACAAGGGCAUGACCUGAGGCCGAGGUUUGCUUCUGUUGAGGCACUGAGGUGACAGUGUGUUCUUUUUCUCCCUAGGACUGGCCCCUGGGAUUUGCUGCUCAGGACCCGAGUUCACUGAGACAUCAGGAGCAAGCACUGGAGGCCCGGUGCUGCUGGACCCAGAUGGGAGCCAUGCAGGACUUGACCAUUGCCUGCACACACUUCUUCCCAGGAGAAAGGGAAUGAGCAAGGACUGGCCCCUGGGAUUUGCUGCUCAGAACCUGAAUUCACUGAGACAUCAGGAGCAAGCACUGGAGGCCGGUGCUGCUGGACCCAGAUGGGAGCCAUGCAGGACUUGACCAUUGCCUGCACACACUUCUUCCAGGAGAAGGGGAAUGAGGAAGAACUAGAUCCUAAGAGCAGAAGACAAUCAUAUGUCCUGAGAACCCAUUGGAGGUUGAACGCUGCUGGGUGGAUGGAGAAAGGCAGAAAUGCAGAAUUUCGUCAUUGCCUGGAUGCUGACUUUAUCCAAAGAGAAGAUGCAUGAGGAGUGUACAUGCCUCAGAACUGGAUGCUGAGACAUGCCCCCGCGAUCCCAAGACCACCAGGUACCGUGAGCAAUCACUGGAGCUGGAACACUGCUGCCUGAAGAAGAAAAGAAGUGCAGGCUUGUCAUUGUCUAUGCUGUUACUUGUGGUUCCCAGGUCUUCAGAGAGGAUGCACAAAGACGGGAGGCAGACUGGCAUCACAGGACCCUUCCGAGUAUUAACGCAGACCCUGGUGACAGAGGUCCAGUACCAAGUGCGCAGCUGUGCUGAGGUGCAGGGACAGGAGGCAGAAGGGCAGGUUCCAGCCCGCUCAGCUGGCCAUGGUAAGAUACUAGCUGGUGUCCUAGGGCAGCAAGGCGCCUCCCUCUCCAGGUUCUGAAGAGAAAACACUGCAGUCUGAGUUUCUGUUGGGACCUGAGCAGAAGACAAGGAAGCCCAGCUAGGCACCCACAGCUGCUCCUGCUCUCUGUAAUCGGCCGCCAUCUUCCUUCAUUCUUUCAUGACUGAGGUGCGCGUACAGGAAGCAGAGGGGCAGGUUCCACCCCGCUCAGCUGGCCAUGGUAAUCUACUUGCUGGUGUCCUACUCUCCCGGUUCUGAAGAGAAAACACUGCAGUCUGAGUUUCUGUUGGGGCCUGAGGAGUAGUCAAGGAAGCCCAGCUAGGCACUCACAGCUGCUCCUGCUGUCUGUAAUUGGUCGCCAUCUUCCGCCAUUGCUAGGAAUCAUGGGCAGGAGGAGAGUGGCCCUGUGAGUUUUGAAACCGUGUCCUCAUGGUGGCAGUAGAGCUCCAAACAAGAGCUUGUGAGUGCUUCUCCCCCGCCCUUCCUGUCUGAAAAAACUCCAAAGAUGGCUGUCCUAACUUUUUAUUUUGAUUUUUCUUUAUUUUUCCAGACAGGAUUUUGCUGUAUAGCCCUGGCUGUCCUAGAACUCACUUUGUACAACAGGUUGGCAUCGAACUCAGAAAUCCACCUGCCUCUGCCUCCCGAGUGCUGGGAUUAAUGGUGUGCACCACUAUGCCCUGCUGUCUGCCCUAACUUUUACCCAGCUUUGAAUAGUUUCAACUGUAUUUUAUUUUUUUGUCACAUGUUCCAUGUGAAGCCAAUCUGAGGCCCUAGGUAAUGGGACUAUUUUCCUUCAGUUAUGUAGGGUUUUUCCUUUUUCUCCCUUUAUAAUUGUUGAUUUUUUCUUUUUCAGAUACUUAAUGGUUUUCAUAAAAUUUUGAUAUGUUUAAUUUUGUGUCAGUUUUACAUGAUAAAGAUAUGGUAGCAGAUUUAGAAGCCAAGGACUAUGCUGAGCCCUAGUCCUAGUGAACUACAAGAGGCUGGAUGGCCUGGGCCUUUCCAGUAGGCUUCUGUCUUUUCGUCUGGGAGUUCCAGAAUAGUCCAUGCUACCAUACCCAGAGGACAGGAGUAGGUUUAACUUUGUCUUAAGUAAACUAUCAAUAAACAAACACUUGCCAGUUGAUAAUUAUAUCUC